Molecule: ribosomal RNA, 253 nt
Filed under: uncultured bacterium
Lineage: Bacteria
Description: partial 16S ribosomal RNA
Rfam family: Bacterial small subunit ribosomal RNA
Source: RNAcentral
UACAGAGGUCCCAAGCGUUGUUCGGAUUCAUUGGGCGUAAAGGGUGCGUAGGUGGUGCUGUAAGUUGGAUGUGAAAUCUCGGGGCUUAACCCCGAAACUGCAUUCAAUACUGCGGUGCUUGAGUACUGGAGAGGAGAUUGGAAUUCACGGUGUAGCAGUGAAAUGCGUAGAUAUCGUGAGGAAGACCAGUGGCGAAGGCGGAUCUCUGGACAGUCACUGACACUGAGGCACGAAGGCCAGGGGAGCAAACGGG